GCCCUGGUAGCACAAUGCUUAAGCACUUGGCUGGUAACCAAAAGCUUGAGGGUUCAAACCCAUCCAGUGGCU
RNAcentral lists this transfer RNA (72 nucleotides) under Loxodonta africana (African savanna elephant). It matches the Rfam family "tRNA". Rfam says of the family: Transfer RNA (tRNA) molecules are approximately 80 nucleotides in length. Their secondary structure includes four short double-helical elements and three loops (D, anti-codon, and T loops). The record is from Rfam by way of RNAcentral. Lineage: Eukaryota; Metazoa; Chordata; Mammalia; Proboscidea; Elephantidae.